RNAcentral lists this unclassified non-coding RNA (541 nucleotides) under unidentified. Its description in RNAcentral is "sequence contains 28S rRNA gene". It matches the Rfam family "Eukaryotic large subunit ribosomal RNA", at positions 98 to 655 of the family's 3401-position model. The record is from RNAcentral.
GCGGCAAAAGCUCAAAUUUGAAAUCUGGCUCUUUCAGAGUCCGAGUUGUAAUUUGAAGAAGGUAUCUUUGGGUCUGGCUCUUGUCUAUGUUUCUUGGAACAGAACGUCACAGAGGGUGAGAAUCCCGUGCGAUGAGAUGAUCCAGGCCUAUGUAAAGUUCCUUCGAAGAGUCGAGUUGUUUGGGAAUGCAGCUCUAAGUGGGUGGUAAAUUCCAUCUAAAGCUAAAUAUUGGCGAGAGACCGAUAGCGAACAAGUACAGUGAUGGAAAGAUGAAAAGAACUUUGAAAAGAGAGUGAAAAAGUACGUGAAAUUGUUGAAAGGGAAGGGCUUGAGAUCAGACUUGGUAUUUUGUAUGUUACUUCUUCGGGGGUGGCCUCUACAGUUUAUCGGGCCAGCAUCAGUUUGGGCGGUAGGAGAAUUGCGUUGGAAUGUGGCACGGCUUCGGUUGUGUGUUAUAGCCUUCGUCGAUACUGCCAGCCUAGACUGAGGACUGCGGUUUAUACCUAGGAUGUUGGCAUAAUGAUCUUAAGUCGCCCGUCUU